CCGUGCAGCACGAUGCAACGUUGGACCCCAACGCAGCUGCUGGCCACUGCACAAGAUUAGAUAUAACACUCUUGUGCGUGUGACAGCGACUAUUAUGGGGCUUCCAUGACA
Molecule: microRNA precursor, 111 nt
Filed under: Dinoponera quadriceps
Lineage: Eukaryota; Metazoa; Arthropoda; Insecta; Hymenoptera; Formicidae
Description: microRNA dqu-mir-210 precursor
Gene: dqu-mir-210
Rfam family: mir-210 microRNA precursor family (bases 21-111)
Source: miRBase by way of RNAcentral